UGGCGGCAGUAGCGCGGUGGUCCUACCUGACCCCAUGCCGAACUCAGAAGUGAAACGCCGUAGCGCCGAUGGUAGUGUGGGGUCUCCCCAUGCGAGAGUAGGGAACUGCCA
RNAcentral lists this ribosomal RNA (111 nucleotides) under Salmonella enterica. The record is from RNAcentral. Lineage: Bacteria; Pseudomonadati; Pseudomonadota; Gammaproteobacteria; Enterobacterales; Enterobacteriaceae.